AUGACGAUGACAUAGGCGCGGGGCGCUCGUA
This 31-nucleotide small RNA is filed under the name Bombyx mori (domestic silkworm). Its description in RNAcentral is "ovarian small RNA-12561". Lineage: Eukaryota; Metazoa; Arthropoda; Insecta; Lepidoptera; Bombycidae. The record is from RNAcentral.